RNAcentral lists this ribosomal RNA (233 nucleotides) under uncultured bacterium. RNAcentral describes it as "partial 16S ribosomal RNA". It matches the Rfam family "Bacterial small subunit ribosomal RNA", at positions 100 to 334 of the family's 1533-position model. The record is from RNAcentral.
CGGGACGGGUGAGUAAUGUCUGGGAAACUGCCUGAUGGAGGGGGACAACUACUGGAAACGGUAGCUAAUACCGCAUAACGUCGCAAGACCAAAGAGGGGGACCUUCGGGCCUCUUGCCAUCGGAUGUGCCCAGAUGGGAUUAGCUAGUAGGUGGGGUAACGGCUCACCUAGGCGACGAUCCCUAGCUGGUCUGAGAGGAUGACCAGCCACACUGGAACUGAGACACGGUCCAG